Molecule: long non-coding RNA, 479 nt
Filed under: Equus caballus (horse)
Lineage: Eukaryota; Metazoa; Chordata; Mammalia; Perissodactyla; Equidae
Description: lncRNA (ENSECAG00000045400.1)
Source: RNAcentral
GAUGCUUCUGUUCUCUGCGGCUACCUCUUCUAGACUGUGAGCUUCCAACGUUCUGUUGAUUAGGGCAAUCCAGGAAUUUAAUGACAUCAUAAGACAUCAGGCCCACCAAAUGGUCCUUGCUCUCUAUUCUUGCAGAUAUUGGAAUUUCUUAGAAGGGAAGAGAAUCAGAAAAUGUCUGCCAUGCCAGUGAGAGUACCAAGGCUGAGCCAAUCAGCUGAAGAUCUCACUGAGGCCCAACCAAGUUGACGGAGACAAAAGCCGCAAGUUAUUCCAGGCUGAAGUUGAACAGCAGGAACCAAUACAUUGCACAAGGGUGGGAAGUCAUGCAACGAGGCCUCAGAAAUCCCAGCCAGCACAGACACAAGAACCAGCACAAGUGACUUGCAUAGGGGUCUGCUGGCUCUCCCAUCUUUUCUUGGCAUCGUCUCCAUUUCUUCAGAGGCACUUCCCCAAAUAAAAUCUUUGCUCUUUUAAUCCUG